Molecule: ribosomal RNA, 389 nt
Filed under: uncultured bacterium
Lineage: Bacteria
Description: bacterial SSU rRNA
Rfam family: Bacterial small subunit ribosomal RNA
Source: RNAcentral
AUUGAACGCUGGCGGCAUGCCUUACACAUGCAAGUCGAACGGCAGCACGGGGGCAACCCUGGUGGCGAGUGGCGAACGGGUGAGUAAUACAUCGGAACGUGCCCAGUAGUGGGGGAUAGCCCGGCGAAAGCCGGAUUAAUACCGCAUACGACCUACGGGUGAAAGCGGGGGAUCGCAAGACCUCGCGCUAUUGGAGCGGCCGAUGUCAGAUUAGGUUGUUGGUGGGGUAAGAGCCACCAAGCCGACGAUCUGUAGCUGGUCUGAGAGGACGACCAGCCACACUGGGACUGAGACACGGCCCAGACUCCUACGGGAGGCAGCAGUGGGGAAUUUUGGACAAUGGGCGCAAGCCUGAUCCAGCCAUGCCGCGUGCGGGAAGAAGGCCUCGG